RNAcentral lists this unclassified non-coding RNA (359 nucleotides) under uncultured fungus. RNAcentral's name for it is "partial contains small subunit ribosomal RNA, internal transcribed spacer 1, and 5.8S ribosomal RNA". The stretch from base 1 to 73 matches the Rfam family "Eukaryotic small subunit ribosomal RNA", at positions 1759 to 1831 of the family's 1831-position model. Lineage: Eukaryota; Fungi. The record is from RNAcentral.
UCAAACUUGGUCAUUUAGAGGAAGUAAAAGUCGUAACAAGGUUUCCGUAGGUGAACCUGCGGAAGGAUCAUUAUUGAAUAUAACUGGUUGGGUUGCUGCUGGCUUUUAGGAGCAUGUGCACACCUAAUCUGUUUUUAACCACCUGUGCACCUUGUGUAGAUUUGAACAAUUUUCAAGGCAAAAGUACUUGGCUGAAGAAUUGCUGUGUGCACAAGCAUCAGCUUUUCUGGUGUUCAAAUCUAUGUCUUAUCAUUAAAACACCUAGUAUUUGAAUGUAAUUAAUAGGCCAUUGUGCCUUUAAUGUUAAUACAACUUUCAACAACGGAUCUCUUGGCUCUCGCAUCGAUGAAGAACGCAGC